CGUAUCACCCAAGACAACUUUACGGAGUUGACGAUUGACGGAGCGAAGCGACGUCAAAGCGUUCAUUAAAGUCGAGUUGGCUUAGGGAUACGUUCGUUGGGUAGGGGAGCGUUCUGUAAGCCUGUGAAGGUGUGUCGUGAGGCAUGCUGGAGGUAUCAGAAGUGCGAAUGCUGACAUAAGUAACGAUAAAGCGGGUGAAAAGCCCGCUCGCCGGAAGACCAAGGGUUCCUGUCCAACGUUAAUCGGGGCAGGGUGAGUCGACCCCUAAGGCGAGGCCGAAAGGCGUAGUCGAUGGGAAACGGGUUAAUAUUCCCGUACUUGGUGUUACUGCGAAGGGGGGACGGAGAAGGCUAUGUUGGCCGGGCGACGGUUGUCCCGGUUUAAGCGUGUAGGUGUGUGUUCCAGGUAAAUCCGGUUCACUUUAACACUGAGGCGUGACGACGAGGCACUACGGUGCUGAAGCAACAAAUGCCCUGCUUCCAGGAAAAGCCUCUAAGCAUCAGGUAACACGAAAUCGUACCCCAAACCGACACAGGUGGUCAGGUAGAGAAUACCAAGGCGCUUGAGAGAACUCGGGUGAAGGAACUAGGCAAAAUGGUGCCGUAACUUCGGGAGAAGGCACGCUGACACGUAGGUGAAGUGAUUUACUCAUGGAGCUGAAGUCAGUCGAAGAUACCAGCUGGCUGCAACUGUUUAUUAAAAACACAGCACUGUGCAAACACGAAAGUGGACGUAUACGGUGUGACGCCUGCCCGGUG
RNAcentral lists this ribosomal RNA (758 nucleotides) under Salmonella enterica. RNAcentral's name for it is "partial 23S ribosomal RNA". It matches the Rfam family "Bacterial large subunit ribosomal RNA", at positions 1154 to 1868 of the family's 2925-position model. Lineage: Bacteria; Pseudomonadati; Pseudomonadota; Gammaproteobacteria; Enterobacterales; Enterobacteriaceae. The record is from RNAcentral.